UACAGAGGGGGCGAGCGUUGUUCGGAAUUAUUGGGCGUAAAGGGCGCGUAGGCGGUGCGGUAAGUCACCUGUGAAAUCUCCUGGCUCAACUGGGAGCUUGCAGGCGAAACUGCCGUGCUGGAGUGUGGGAGAGGUGCGUGGAAUUCCUGGUGUAGCGGUGAAAUGCGUAGAUAUCAGGAGGAACACCUGUGGCGAAAGCGGCGCACUGGACCACAACUGACGCUGAGGCGCGAAAGCUAGGGGAGCAAACAGG
This 253-nucleotide ribosomal RNA is filed under the name uncultured bacterium. RNAcentral describes it as "partial 16S ribosomal RNA". It matches the Rfam family "Bacterial small subunit ribosomal RNA", at positions 524 to 776 of the family's 1533-position model. The record is from RNAcentral.